This 1479-nucleotide ribosomal RNA is filed under the name Triticum aestivum (bread wheat). RNAcentral describes it as "partial small subunit ribosomal RNA". Lineage: Eukaryota; Viridiplantae; Streptophyta; Magnoliopsida; Poales; Poaceae. The record is from RNAcentral.
AUGCAGUUCUCGCUUUCCAACAAGCGGACUGCCAAGGAGGCUUGGGACGCCAUCGCCGCAGCACGCAUCGGCAGCGACCGUGCUCGCAAGUCCACCCUGCAGGCACUUCGUAAGGAGUGGGAGAACCUGGGCUUCAAGCCAGGUGAGGACGUUGAUGACUUUGCUCUCCGUCUCAACACUCUGCUGCAGAAGAUGGUGAAGUUUGGCGAUGCCACCUACACCGAGGAGAGAGCUGUCGAGAAGCUUUUUCGGUGCAUUCCCGAGAAGUACAAGCAGAUGGCUCGCUCGAUCGAGUCGUUGCUGGACCUCUCCACGAUGACGAUCGAGGAGGCGAUAGGUCGACUCAAGGUCGUCGACACCGACGAGCCACAGCCCCCCUCGGGGCCCGUCACCACCGGCGGGAAGCUGCUCCUAACUCGGGAGCAGUGGGAUCCCAGCCUUGGUGACAAGAAGGGGGAGCCUUCCUCCUCGACGGGCGGCCGCGCUUUCAUCCACCUCGAUGAGCCAAAAGCACAUGCUCUUCUCGGCGAUGGCUCCGGGAAGGACAAGGCUACGGGGUGGUGCCUCGACACCGGCGCCACCCACCACAUGACCGGUCGAAGGGAAUUCUUCGCCGAGCUCGACUCCGAUGCGCGAGGCUCCGUCAAGUUCGGGGAUGCCUCCGCUGUGGAGAUAAAGGGCGUCGGCUCCGUCAUCUUCACCACCAAGAUGGGAGAGCACCGGCUGCUCACCGGUGUCUACUACAUCCCCGCGCUAAGGAAUUCCAUCAUCAGCUUGGGACAGCUGGAUGAGAACGGCUCACGCGUGCUGAUUGAGCAUGGGGUCCUACGCAUCUGGGAUCGCCAGCGUCGCCUUCUCGCCAAGGUGCCCAGAGGUGAAAAUCGACUCUACGUCCUUGAUGUGCAGGUGGCACAACCGGUCUGUCUCGCUGUCCGUCGAGACGACGAGGCGUGGCAGUGGCAUGAGCGCUUUGGGCACCUUCACUUUGAGGCCCUGAAGCGUCUAAGUGCUAAGGAGAUGGUGCGAGGCCUGCCAUGCCUCGACCAUGUGGAGCAGUUCUGCGACAUCUGCGUACUGACAAAGCAGAGACGACUCCCCUUUCCCCAACAGGCGAGUUUUCGGGCUAAGGAGAAGCUGGAGCUCAUGCACGGAGACCUGUGCGGCCCGGUGACGCCAGCCACACCAGGAGGUCGACUAAGGGAGAAGCGGCGGACGCCAUCAGGCGCGCGCAGGUUGGUGUGGAGGCGGAGAGCGGCCGCAAAUUGCGCGUGUUGCGCACUGACAACGGCGGCGAGUUCACGGCGGUUGAAUUCGCGUCGUACUGCGCCGAUGAGGGCAUCCAGCGCCACUACUACGCGCCGUACAGCCCGCAGCAAAACGGCGUCGUCGAGCGGCGCAACCAGACGGUUGUGGGGAUGGCUCGGGCUCUCCUCAAGCAGAGAGGGAUGCCGGCUGUCUUCUGGGGAGAGGCGGUGCUAA